Molecule: ribosomal RNA, 274 nt
Filed under: uncultured bacterium
Lineage: Bacteria
Description: partial 16S ribosomal RNA
Rfam family: Bacterial small subunit ribosomal RNA
Source: RNAcentral
AUCCGAAAGGUGCAAGCGUUGUUCGGAUUUACUGGGCGUAAAGAGAGUGUAGGUUGUUUAUUAAGUCGGAUGUGAAAUCCCGGGGCUCAACCUCGGAACUGCAUUCGAUACUGGUAGACUAGAGUUCGGGAGGGGUAAGCGGAAUUCCGUGUGUAGCAGUGAAAUGCGUAGAUAUACGGAGGAACACCUGAGGCGAAGGCGGCUUACUGGACCGAUACUGACACUGAGACUCGAAAGCGUGGGUAGCAAACAGGAUUAGAAACCCAAGUAGUCC